RNAcentral lists this ribosomal RNA (497 nucleotides) under uncultured bacterium. RNAcentral's name for it is "partial 16S ribosomal RNA". It matches the Rfam family "Bacterial small subunit ribosomal RNA", at positions 28 to 507 of the family's 1533-position model. The record is from RNAcentral.
GAUGAACGCUGGCGGCGUGCCUAACACAUGCAAGUCGAACGGACAGACAAUAAGUUUGCGCCCUUGACGUUAGCGGCGGGCGGGUGAGUAACGCGUGCAUAACCUACUUCUAUUACGGGGAUGACUUCGGAACACCGGCUACAAUAAUAGAGAAUACAAUGUACGGCUGGGUGCAGGAGAGAUUCUCGGUUUGGGUGGCGCUUAUAGCCGGUUCCGUGCCGGAUUAGCUAGUGGGUAAGGUAACGGCCUACCAAGGCGACGAUGCGUAGCCGACCGGAGAGGGUGAUCGGCCACACUGGAACUGAGACACGGUCCAGACUCCUACGGGAGGCAGCAGUAGGGAAUCUUGGGCAAUGGGCGCAAGCCUGACGCAGCAAGGCCGCGUGAGUGAUGAAGGUCUUCGGGUCGUAAAGCCCUGUUUUUGGGGAAGAACAGAUGUGGAUGUAAACAUGGCCGUCGUGACGGUACCUAAAGAAAAAGCACCGGCUAACUACGUG